AGUAGCUGGAACUACAGGCGCCGCGCCACCACUCCCGGCUAAUUUUUUUAUUUUAUUUUAUUUUUUAUUUUUAGUAGAGACGGGGUUUCACCGUAGCCAGAAUGGUCUUGAUCUCCUGACCUCGUCAUCCGCCCGCCUCGGCCUCCCAAAGUGCUGGGCUUACAGGCGUGAGACACUGCGCCCGGCCCAUACUACUACUUUUUUAAGAGGAGGAAAGGAGGGAAUUUUCCAUGAGUUUGAAUCCUACAAAUGCCACAAACAGCUUCUGAAGCUGAAGCCAUGACAAUGAACUUCCAUGACACAAAGAAGAUGAGGAAUUGGAAGGGAACAGUGCAGGAGAAACACAGUGACAUUGUGUCACAGUAGGUAUUUAUGCCUGCUAUCCUCAUCCGAGAUAAGGUCAAUAACUUCUGCUGGUGAAGCCCAAGUCUGCUGGGGGCUCACAGCAGUUCCAUGACUGUGUCUGCCUGGUGCUAAGAUACUGUGUGCCCGAGCCAUGCUUCCACGAAGAAGCACUCCAAAUCACACCACCUCGAGGAUGAACACACCUUGCAUGUUCCUGAACUCCCACAAUCUCUACUUCACUAUCUGAAGAGGCAAUAUUAAUUUCUUCAUUGAGCGGUGCAUUGCCGGCAGAUAUUUUGUCACUUGCUAGGAAUCCUGGAUGCAAAUGACCUGCCUCUGCAUUCAGCUCCUCUAGAAGCCAGCUGGUCCUCCAGGUAGCUCCUGUGUCCUGGCCGCCUAUAGAAUUAUUGUGCUCUUGAACUACUGCAGCCGCCGAUAAAUUGUACACAGUUACCACUUCCGGGUCAGAGCUGGUGUCAGACAUAUCAUAAUGAGCUACAACUGGAGGUCCAUCUGGUAUCUCUGCAGUGAUUGUCUUGCUGCUCCCUGAAACCUCUUCAUCAUCAUCUGAUGAGCUCGUGCUUGUCACAAGUCAGGUCACUGUCACUGGUACUACUUACUGUCCUGCAGCAGGUUGUACUGCUUGCAGCAACCUCCCGUUCGUGCCUCAGUAGCCUGAUCCUCUCCUUGUGCUUUUGGCUCCAAUGACCUUUAACCCAUUCUGUUUAUCACUGGAUUGCCAGUUUUUCUUGGCAGCCAUAGUGGAUGUUUCACUUUUAGAUCGGGACCUCCUAGACUUGCGCCCAACUGUGGCACCAGACACUCCUGAAGGGUCUCCUUCUACCGCUGUUUCUGCCUGAGAGGGUUCAUUCUCUUCUGCGGAAGACAACGUGUCUGAAUCAGCCAGGUGAUCACUAGAAGAAGGGCAAAGCAUGCAGUGAUUAGAGGAGUCACUCUCAUAAACUUGGCCAGUUGUAGGCUUGUCACUCUCUGUGGAUGCUGAGACUCAGAAGAGUCUCUUCUCAGCUCCAUCAACAAGCAGGGCAUUGAAGAAAGAACUGCAGAAUCUGCUACACCGUCUUUCUGAACUUGAGAUUCCAGUUCUACAGAUUCAUCUUCCUCCUUCGCUGUCUCUUGUUCAGAUGUUUUUGGUGGGACUUCAGACUCAAUGAGUUAUUCGAGUUUUCCCACUGCCUCCUCUAUCUUUGUUUCAGAAUUUCAAGUUAAAUCAUGGAGCAGCCUCUAGGAAAUGGUAUCAAAGAUGCAACAGGAAAGCAAACAAAAAAACUUGUAGGCCAAGCCUGGGAGAUCAGAACUCAGAGGAUUGGGUGCCACUUCCUUAUUCUUACUUGGAUCUAGAAUUCAAAUUUACAUUGUCCACGUGGUCAAGAAACCCUGCGCUCUGCAGUGACUCCGUGCCUCCUGGCUCGCUCAGCGCACCCCAUCAGGGCACACACCAUCCCCCAAACUUAAUUUGAAUUUUAAAUUAGUAUUCUCCUUAUUUCAGUUUUUGGCUUCUGUAAGAGAAUACAUCAUAAUUUAUUGCUUCAGUCUGCAAUUUGCCAUAUCUCCUAAUGACAUUCAGUAGUGAAUUGUUAAAAAGAAUCUGUGUAUCUACAUAUUGAUUAUGAUUAUCUAUCUAUCUAUUUAUCACAAUUCUGGAGGCUGUAAGUCUGAGAUCAAGGCGGCAUCAGGGUUGGUUUCUUCUGAAGUCUCUCUCCUUAGUUUAUAGAUGGCCAUUUUCAUUCUGUGUCUUCACGUUGUCUUUUUGCUGUGUGUGUCUGUGUCCUAAUCACUUCUUAUAAAUACACCAGCCAUAUUGGAUUAGGGCCUACAUGAAUCACCUCCAUUUUACCUUAGAAACAUCUUUAAAGACUAUCUCCAAAUAUAGUCACAUACUGAGGCACUGUGGGUUAGAUUUCAACACAUGAAUUCUGAGGGAAGACAUAAUCCAGCUCCUAACACCACCAAAGUGUAUAGUUUUAUCCAUUAUGGAGUCUCAUGUAUUAUGCUUUGUGAACUCUCUUUUUUUUUUCAUUUUAAUAAAGUUUCCAUUUCUAGGAUGCUUUGUGAGUUCUUGAGUAGGCACCAUGCCUUGCAUUAUUUUGAGUCUCCCAUUUUUGGGGGGUAGAUACCGGUUUGGAAGAUAUGGGUCUUCCAUCAAAGGAGACAUUUGCAUUGAAAAAAUCAGAUAAAUGACAGACUAAUUAAUAAUUUCUAAUUGAUUAUUAAUUAAAGUUAAGGAAAUGUGUUUGAAAGAUAGAUCCCAAUAUAUGAGUACAUUACAAGAAAAUUCAAUAAGAAGCCGACUGAGUGUGAACAACAUAGAGAUAUGGUCAUCCUUGGAGAAGAGUUUUUUAUUAGCAUGAACAUUGUAUGUGUUUAUAUCUAGGAAAAAAAGAAAAUGGACUUAUUCUUAUUAAUACUAAGAUAUUUCUCAGACUAAAUAAGACAAUAUAAUGGUUGAGCCAAAUUAAUUGUGUUAGAACCUCAAUCGAUAUUCCUUGAUCAUGUAGGAUGUUGGAGAUAUGUGCAUGACUCUAAAAUGCUAUCAGGUAGACUGCCUACUGGAAAAAUUCCCAGUGGGCAACAAUACUGGGGGAAAAGUAGGUUAGAGUAAUGUAGUUGAUAGUAAUUUGAUGGCAAGUUGUCUACCGUAGCCUAAAAAGAGUUUGAAAAGGAAAUAUAAUAAUAAUAAAUAAUAAUAACAAAAUAUUUAGAUCAGAUAUUUAGAUUCUAGAGUGAAGAGGUUUUACCAGUAGGCAGAUUUCUGCAUAUGUAAUUUUACUGAAGAAGUGGCUUUCAAACCUUUGACAAUUUCUAUUGGGACCAGGUAACGCAUGUACACACACAGACACACACAAGGACACUAUUUACCUUUCUCAUGUAUGAUGCACUCUAACAUUCUCCAUUUUAUUCAGUUUUGUCUCACUGCAGUCUAUUUCAUUACUGUUUCUGAUACAUUCUAUGUAUUUCAUACCACACCGAGGCUGCACCCAGGAGCUUGAGAAUCACUGCAUUUGAAAGCCUUUUCUAACAAAGGGUAUGAAGACUUGGAAAGGUGUAUAAGUGUCCAGCAUAUGGUGUGCCAUAUCUGCCUCCCUGGAGAUGCCCAAUGUAUAUGAGACAGUCAGUGGAGGCUAAGAAUCUGACUUCCAGAGAGGCAUCAUUACACUGAGAUCCACAAAGCAGUGCGAAGGGUCAAAAAUGAAAGGGAACUAGAACCAAGAUAGAAAGGUUAUCAGGGAAAUGAAGCAUUGUACAGAAGAGCUGGUGUUAGACAGCAUGAAGAGGAGGAUAACAAGUAUAAGGAGUAACACUAUCAUAUUGUUGUGUUUAGGAGAGUCAACCCUGAUGUUAGACAUGUU
Molecule: long non-coding RNA, 3713 nt
Filed under: Homo sapiens (human)
Lineage: Eukaryota; Metazoa; Chordata; Mammalia; Primates; Hominidae
Description: HSALNT0307850
Source: RNAcentral